UUUUUUGGUAAGAGGAAAAAUAGUAUUAUAGGAGGUUAUUAUUGAUUUGGGGUUUAAAUGGGCUGAAUCUUUUAAUUUAGGAACCAUUUUUGGGCCUUACAAGAAUAGACAUUUUUGGACUAAGAAAGAAGGUUCUUUUGCACUCUUACCCUUGCCCUUUGUAUCUUCUCCUUCUCUUUUUUUAUGCCAACUCUUGAUGCAGAAAUUGGCACUCACAACAAUACGGGCUUAACCAAGUAUAAUUCAAAUUAAUUGAACAAUUCAAUUAAAGAGAAUAUUACGUGUUGAGGCACUUUUCUGAAAGUUUAGCCGUAAUUAGGCACUUCACAAUCAUUAGACACUUUUUUGAUGUGAAUUGACAUCACUACCCUCUAACUAUAUCUUCCUUUGCUUAGUAAUAUCUCUUCGUUAUCUUUUUUUUUAGGAAUACAAAAACAAUUUUGGCCUCUCUUGUUCUUCAUCUCUCUUUCCAGAAUAAAAAUCCAAUCUUUUAGGACACUCUUAAUAUUCAAAAUUGAAUCUCUUAAGGUUUAUCAUCAUCUUCCUUAUCUCUCAACAAUCUAUUGCUUCUCUUCUUCUUUCUCUCUCGAGAUCUUUUUCAAAUAUAUUCUCAAAUCCACCUUUGUCUGCUGGAUCCGAUUCCAAAACAUGUGAAAGUCUCCGGUCACAGAAUUUCCGUCAGAAGUAACCUCGAAAAUUACAACAACGCUAUCGACAUUCUCUCUUUCGAUUUCGAUUCCAUGAUCGUGAAGCCUCUCCCGAAUUUCAACAACCGCAUCAAAAUUGUAACCACUUGGGCAAGUUACGUUUCUCUCUUUCUCUCGAAGUUCUAGACCCUAUCUUUUUGCCGCUCCAACAAUCAUAUCUCCGUCAAGAGGACGUUAUCCUCUCAAACGUGGAUCUAGCUCUGAUUCUCUUCACUUAUAUUUCGCAGAUUAGUUUUUUUUUACAAAGGAUUCGAGAUUAUUUUGGAAACCAUGACCAAUUAAUUUGGUUAAUCUUAUUAAAUGAACAAAAUUAACCAUACAAUUACAUCCACAAGGUUAAUACAUUCACAUACUAUACUAUAUAAACUCUACCAUAAAACGUUGGAUAUGUGGACACACAUCAUAAUGACAGUCAGUGUUGUGGACAGCCUUUGCUAAUUUUGGUUCAUGAACUUUAGCUUCAUGGAUACAACGUGAGCCUUUGAGACCUUGUAGAGAUCUUCUGUAAUUUCAGUAAAAUUAAAAGUUGGAUUUAACAAUUAUAACCAUCCACAAAUGUGUGUAUGUCUUGUUAUAAGAAUUUAUCUUUAGAUCCAAUACAAAAAUGUUGACAACUAAUGUUUUCUCUUUUCUCUCUCUUACUAAUCGUUUUAUGUCUUCGUGUCAAAACAAGAAACUAACCAAAGACUAGAGAGAAAGAGAGUGAAGGUUCUUUUUGUGCUUGUGUUAAAAUGAGUGAGUUAAGCAAAGCAUUAAUGAGAAAUGAGAGAUGUAAGAGAAGUGAACCUCUAAAAGUUAAAUAGAGGAAGAACCCCAAAAGCUCAACAAUUUUUUAUCGACGAUUACUGUUCAUGUCUAAAUUUGUCCAUUGAUAUGAAACGACAUGUGAGUUACUAGGUGACCAUUUGGACUUGAUUUUUUGGACACUCGUCAAUGUCCUCUAUCCACCGCUUUUCAGCCACUGUUCUGUAGCCUUUGCAGCAAGUGUUCUGUAACCACCAAUUAAUAUGGACAUCAUUGUAACAAAAUCACCACAUAUAGCUUGUUUUUGGGAUUGUUCACCUAUUAAUCAAACAUGAAAAGAUUCACAAAUCUCACCAUAACAAUCCAUAAUUCACAAUCCAUAAUAAGCCAUCCAUAAUGCACAUACCAAUAACAAAAGCAGAGCGAGCUACAAACACACUUUUAUCCACGAACAAAGAUUUACCAAACACAUCCAUCAACGUUCGAUAUAUCAACUUGGGCUUCUCUAUCAGUUUUCAAAUAAAUUAAACCCAUAACUUCAAUAUUUUCAGAAAAAACAUGACUAGCAAACUAUAAGAGCCUAAUCCACUAAUUGUUCGAUUUAAUCGCAAGUAAAUUCACGAUGAACAAAGACCUCUAAUCUCUGUAACAUCGUAAUAUCUAGAAUUUCACGGUGAUAUAAACAGAAAAAAUCAGUAGAGACAAUAACAAAGAAACUUAUUGUUAGAGGAUUCUGAGAAUCGCAAGGAUGAUGAUCAUCUUCUUCCUGGGUUUGUUGUCGUGGAUCUCAAACUUGGAGAUUAUGAAGAGAUUAUGAGGAGACGACAAAUCGAAAGUUUAUGAGGAGAUUAUAUAUGGUAUAAUGAAGAUUGGUGAUUUCUUAUGGAAAGGAGAGAAAAUUAAUGGGAACGACCAUGAUUUUGUAAGAAUUAUAGAGAACAACAAUGAUUUUGAAAGAGAGAAUUGAAAAUGAUGAAAAACAAAAGAAUAUGGAAGAGAGAGAUGAUAAAAAGAAGAUAAUUUCUCACCCACACGAUCUCAACAAUAAUGAGUUAAAAUUAUUGCGUAAUCACUACUUUAGGGAUAAAUUGGUCCAAUUUUCUUUCAAAAAGAUGGCAAAGUGUUCACUCUCUCAUAAGUGUCUCAAAAAGAAUAAUAUUAUCAAAAAGUGCCUAAACGUGUCACAAUUCCUUCAAUUAAAUCAGGGAAUCCCGAUUUACCUCUUAAUAGCCUUUGAAAAAAGCCCAUAUAAGUUGCCAGUCGACUUCCCACAAAAAAAGAAAAGGAAACGCCGACUUUCCAAAAAGAGAAAUCAUAAGAAAUUUCUUAUAAGAUAAUGACAAGGUUUGAAGAUAAAGGUAACUUGGAGAUUCAAACCCUAUAUUUAAGGAAAUUGAGUUUAUAUUCUUUUGUUUUUUUUCCUUCU
RNAcentral lists this small RNA (2877 nucleotides) under Arabidopsis thaliana (thale cress). RNAcentral describes it as "ATSL107150". The record is from RNAcentral. Lineage: Eukaryota; Viridiplantae; Streptophyta; Magnoliopsida; Brassicales; Brassicaceae.